CCUACGGGAGGCAGCAGUGAGGAAUAUUGGUCAAUGGACGAGAGUCUGAACCAGCCAAGUAGCGUGAAGGAUGACUGCCCUAUGGGUUGUAAACUUCUUUUAUAUGGGAAUAAAAUGUUCCACGUGUGGGUUUUUGUAUGUACCAUAUGAAUAAGGAUCGGCUAACUCCGUGCCAGCAGCCGCGGUAAUACGGAGGAUCCGAGCGUUAUCCGGAUUUAUUGGGUUUAAAGGGAGCGUAGGUGGUUUGUUAAGUCAGUUGUGAAAGUUUGCGGCUCAACCGUAAAAUUGCAGUUGAAACUGGCAGUCUUGAGUACAGUAGAGGUGGGCGGAAUUCGUGGUGUAGCGGUGAAAUGCUUAGAUAUCACGAAGAACUCCGAUUGCGAAGGCAGCUCACUGGACUGCAACUGACACUGAGGCUCGAAAGUGUGGGUAUCAAACAGGAGUAGAUACCCCUGUAGUC
This 460-nucleotide ribosomal RNA is filed under the name uncultured bacterium. Its description in RNAcentral is "partial 16S ribosomal RNA". It matches the Rfam family "Bacterial small subunit ribosomal RNA", at positions 338 to 795 of the family's 1533-position model. The record is from RNAcentral.